RNAcentral lists this ribosomal RNA (493 nucleotides) under uncultured bacterium. Its description in RNAcentral is "bacterial SSU rRNA". It matches the Rfam family "Bacterial small subunit ribosomal RNA", at positions 32 to 531 of the family's 1533-position model. The record is from RNAcentral.
AAUCAACGCUGGCGGCGUGCCUCAGACAUGCAAGUCGAACGAUUAAAGCUCUCUUCGGAGAGUGUAUAGAGUGGCGCACGGGUGAGUAACACGUAAGUAAUCUACCCUCGAGUGGGGAAUAACAACCGGAAACGGUUGCUAAUACCGCAUAAUGCAGCGGCACCGCAAGGUGACAGUUGUUAAAGAUUUAUCGCUUGAGGAGGAGCUUGCGGCAGAUUAGCUAGUUGGUAGGGUAACGGCUUACCAAGGCUACGAUCUGUAACCGGUCUAAGAGGACGGUCGGUCACACUGACACUGAAUAACGGGUCAGACUCCUACGGGAGGCAGCAGUCGGGAAUUUUGGGUCGAAUGGGCGAAAGCCUGACCCAGCAACGCCGCGUGAAGGAUGAAGUAUUUCGGUAUGUAAACUUCGAAAGAAUAGGAAGAAUUAAUGACGGUACUAUUUAUAAGGUCCGGCUAACUACGUGCCAGCAGCCGCGGUAAAGUCUGUACU